This 5537-nucleotide long non-coding RNA is filed under the name Triticum aestivum (bread wheat). RNAcentral describes it as "long non-coding RNA (TAES_LNC023272)". Lineage: Eukaryota; Viridiplantae; Streptophyta; Magnoliopsida; Poales; Poaceae. The record is from RNAcentral.
AGAUUUGUCUGGUCACUUCCCCACCGCCCAUCACAAUUCUCCCCCGUUCCCCAUCCUACCAUGGUCGUCAGCUUCCUCUCUCCACCGCCGGCUCUCCCAGGUCAGGCCGCCACUCCCCUUCGUCCCCACUGCCGGCGCGAGGUCCGCAGCCCCUGCUCUUCCUCCUCUUCAUGUUGAAUCUGGUCGCGGAAGUGGCCGAGGAGGCCCUCGAGCUCGGCAUGCUCGCGCGAGCAAUCCAACGGUAGGCGCCGUCAGAGGCGGACGCGGAUGCACGGGACUCGCACGCCCCUGCUCUACCCUGCUCCCUCUUCGAGUCUGGUCGCCGAAGUGCUCGAGGAGGCGCUAGAGCUCGGCAUGCUCGCUGGCGAAGCCGGCCCCUUCUCUCCUCCUGAUGCGAGGGAGGUCCCCCAUCGCCCCCACGGACAAGGCGCGGAUGGAGGCGUACCAGAAAGUGCAGGAGUUCGACUUGUCCAGCGGCGCUGAUUGGAAGACGACCGCCAAGCACAAAGGAGAGUUUGGGUGAGCAUUAAGCAGUUAACUAAUUUCUAGGGGUCAUGAGCCCCGACAGUCGUUGUUCGAGGAAAGCUGAAGCGAAUAGCACAUCUCGUUGCAAAUUUAUCACCAUACACCAGUAUGAUUGAUAUAUGAUAUGGGAUGGGAUAGGAAUAGACACUGCUUGAAUGUUAAAAUUUAUAUGUAAUUCUUUUUCUGUCACCGAUGUUUCACUGGUAUAAUCUAUCAGUUGAGUUUGACAUAGAACCCUGUUCGUGGAGCACACGGAUCAUGGAAAAAUUAUGGUGCGUUUUGUUCUAUUUUAUUUGCCUAAGAACCAUACCCUUCUGCCAGGAAUUACCCACUAAUUCUGUGAGAAUCCUACUCCACUAAUUCCAAGCCAUGAGAGGAUUUUCCUUUCUCAUAUUGAGAUAGCAAUAGCAGUUGACUUAAAUCUUAGAUAUGAGACUCUCAUUUUGUUCACGUUCAACAAAUCAUGUCUGGACUGAAGCUAGGAAAGUUCCCUGUGUGUUCUAAUAAUAAGGUCAUGGGAAUACAAAUGGCAUAUUUUGUCAGGAUGAGAAGGCGAGUCUAAGAUCAAUAUCUGCUUGGGGGCCAUGGCGUGUUCUGUGCGGCAUUGCCCUCGCCGCCGCCGCCGCCCGGGGCGCCGUGUCUCAUGCGUCGCUACCUGACGUCCACUCUAGGAGCUGGGCUUGGCUGCCAAUGGGGCCAAGAAGGUCCCAUAUCGGAGGUCCCUGCUUGCGAACUCGUAGUUAGUUUGCAUGAUACAGUUAGUAGAAGUUGUUCCUUAAGUAGAGUGUGAUUAAUCACGUAUGGCCAUUAAUACAAUCAGAUCGUUGGGGCAUGCAUAAAUAUACUUGAAUUUUAAAUUAGCAUGUCAAGAGGUUUAGUUAGUGUCGCUCCCUACUGUAAUUAUAGCUGGAUAUGUCGUUCCUGUACUUAAAACUUAUCAAUCAGAUGUACAGAAAUUUGGUAGAUAAGCUGACGUUUGAAGGGGCAGUAAACAUUAAACAUUUCAGAUGGUGAUUGGGAAUAUCUGAUAUGUCCUGAUUGUGUGUUUCCUGUUGUAGAUAAAUCUGCUUGCAAGGCUCUCGAUGAUGUAUUCACUUUCAACAAUUGCACCAGGGUGUGGUCAGUUGGAGAAGACAUUACUAUGAUUGUUUUUUCAGGUGAUAAAUUGUAACCUUAUAUCCUUUAUUACUUGAAAUCCAAAAUCAUUGAAAACAGUCCGUAAUUACUUUGGAGAGAAUCCUUUAUUAUUUUCUGUCUUGUUCAUGUUCAGCAUAGGAUGUAUAUCAUUAAAACCAUCAUGGUAUAUUAUUGUUCAUGUUCAGCAUAGGAUGUGCUUUGUCAUAUGUUAGACAAUUGCUGCCUAUAUGUUAUUAGUAUAUAGACUGGAAAUAUUUUUCUAGAUUGAAACUGCACGUCUAGAUCGAAAAUAAGCUAUUUAUGGUAUGGUUACCCAAGUAUAACAGCUACAGUAUGUCAGUACUGAAUCUCGUCCUGAGAUCAAUCAGCAAAAGUUCGUAAUUGCUGAUAUAUUAGACGGACUGCUAUUUCAUAGAACUGAAAAGAAUACGUGUCCACUGUUCUCCCAAAGUUUCUCUUUGGCCAAUAUAAAUUGAUAUGUCUAAAGUUCCAAGUGAGAUAUGAAAUAAAUGCACAUGAACAAAUCUAGGGGUGUAGUGUUCUUAUGGUAUUUUUAGCUGGGGGUGCUUUUUUUCAUGGCUAGGUAUAAACUGAAAUUUGUGCACUUAAAAUCCAGAAUCUGCUCAUUCUAUUCAAAACAUAGUCUAUUUGAACAUUGAUUUAGAUAGAGGCAUGAAGCGCACCAUUUAGAUAGAGAAUGCGUAAAUGAGGGCUAAAUACAUAUAUGUCAAGUUGAAAAAUCCGAAACCAAAUUAAAACUGUAGCACAACCAACUAAAAGAAAGCUCGCUGGAGUCAGGCUCGAGCUCAAUCCAUGAGGCAUGCUAGAAUAUGAACACAAAGAGCACUACUAUAUAUAUCAGCUCCAUGAGCAUUUGUUGUAAAAAAACGCAUAAGAAGCCUACUUCGAAAGCUAGCAAGACCAGCAUUAUAAGAAUCAAAUUAAUAUAGUAAUCAGAAUUAAUUAUAUAAGAAUAGUCUAAUAUGUUGUCCAAAAUCAUAGGAUAUAAGAGUUCACCGUUGUGUUCAUCACUUUCAUAGUUUCUACUUCUCACCAUAUCAUCAUUCAAUUCUGAGUCCACUAAAAUGGUAGAUAAUUUUGUUGUAAAGUGUGUCCUAUGCUCCUACCAAAUACAUAGUAGUAAUCAGAAUUACCCAAAAUAUAGUAAUCGGAAUUAAUUAUAAAAGAAUAGUCUAAUAUGCUUUUGCCAAGUAUUAAUUAGAAUUAGUCCACAAAGAACAAUGGUGGGGAUUCCAAGUGAAAUAUACAUGCUCCAAAUAGUCAAAUGAAACAUUCCUAUCCAGAAGUUUAACAUCCAUAAACACCAAUAUAAUCCACCUACGUGAUUACAAAUUGAUUAGACAUUUUAAUUUGAUGGAAAGAAAGAUAAAUAAACAUGAAUAAUUAAAUAGCUUUAUGGUGUUUCAGCUGAAACACAAACAUGGUGAGCAGCCUGACCGAAACUAACACACUCACUAUAGAACCGCCCAAUCCCAUUCACGUCCCCUCCAUCGCUAGCGAGCUUGCUGCCACAAUCAUCACUGUCCCCGCCAGCAAAUUGCUGAAGAUACGAGAUUUACUGGAAAAUUUGUGAUUUCUCACUGAAUGAUAAAUCAAGUUCUAUUUCCACUGCUUCUAUAGAUCAGAACAAAGACAGAUAUUGAAUACUCAUGCUUCUGGGCAUUCUAUUGAAUCUCAAUUGUCAAUAACUAAUCUUUAGAAGGCAAAAUAUAUAGAGAAAGAAAAUUGUGGGGUCUUGAGCUAGAUCCAUGGAUAUUCUCACUGGCCGCCGCAACUUUCUCUUGCUAGCGGGAUAUGUUUUGCUUCUUUAGAUACUCUGCUUUCUUCUUAUCAAAUGGUCAUGGCAUAUCAGUAUCUACUCUGUAACUAUUCGUCAGAUUGCGUUUCUCCGAACUGAUGGUUAGUAAUUAACUAAUUACUCCAUUAUCGGCUCCAGAUUUUAGCCUAACAAUGGAGGCAAUGAAGUUAGUUAUGAGUAUUAGAUGUUUGGGACAAAUAGCUGCAAUACAAGGUUAGUCCCUGCGAAUUGACUGACCUUUUGCCGUGUGUUUACAUUUGCAUAUAUGUUGCACAUGGUAAAAUAUCGACCAAAUAAUAUUAUGAGAUGACAUGGUUAGAUUAAAGAAAAACUAUAUAAGGUAAGAUGAAGUACAUGCAUUAACCUAUUGCCGUUGUGUUUGUUGCAUAUUUAAAAGGGACACGUGUUAGCAUAAUCGACCCAGAGAUGAGAGGAUGAUUUCGCCACAGUUUUCUUAGCCUAGUGGGAUUUAAAUUCUUUUUCAAGGUAUUCUCUCUACUUCAAGGUAUUAUUUUUCAAGGUAUUCUCACAGCCCACCAAAAUGAAUAAAAUCCAGUAUAAUAAAGAUGCUACAAUAGUUUUCCGGACUCAAUAAUAUGGAGAUGUUACUAACAAACUACAAACUUAUCACCCCAUAGUAAUUUAACUACAACCCUAUACAUACUACAAACUUCGUUCAAAAUACAUACAGCCGACUGACAACCAUCCAAUACUCCUAGUCUUAUACAUACUGCACACACUCGUAAACAAAACCCUCAUUAAAACAAUACAUCAAGCAGCAAUAUAUUUUGGUCCAGUGAUGGUGAAGACUGAACACCCCCAUCCUGAAGGAAGUGACCGAGCUAAGUAGAGUUUAUAGUUUUCAAUUUAAGUUUGUGCAUAGACCAGCUAAUGUUGCUGCUGACCUGCAUGCAAAAAAUGCUUUGCCUCAGCGGCAAAGGUGUGCCAGAAUAAAUAAUGAAUCCUAGCUUCGUUUUCAGCCUUCAGUAUGACUAUAACUAUGUACUUAUUCAGUAAUGAGAAGCUCCUGAUUCGGAAAAAGGUGCACGUGCAUGAAACAAGGAUGUAGCAAAACAAACAUAUAAAUACUGUCAAAUUCUUCAAACAGAAUAAAAAUAAAUAGAUGGAGCAGCACAUCUCUGUUUCUGAGAAGUACACGAGCUGCAAAUUUCAUAUUCAGGAAAGAAGUAAGAUUCUGUGAAUUUGAUGAGGCAACACUAACCUCAUCAAAGCUUUCCCCAUCAUGAAUGGCCUGUUAGUGUCUCUCUUCCCUGAACGGUUUAAAGAGUUGUUCUUGUAUAUGAUUGCUAAGCACGGCCCUUGGCAGAUCUUUAGCCCCAAGAACAACACUUUAGGGCAAGUACAUUUUGCUUCUUUAGAAUCACCCCUUUUGAAAUUAAAAAGGGCACAAAUUUGAUGCUUCCAGCGUUCACAUUUGUCACACAUAACCCACCUUAGAGCCAAUCAAUUAGAACAAAUUAGCAUGAACAAAAAGAGUUUAGAGAAUUCAAGUAUGAAGGUUAGCCUUAGGAAAUUGAUUACCUUUCCACCUGAAUCGUGCAACUGCGAGCCUCAUUCUAACACAGGAUACAGAAAUUGUGGCAAAUCUCAGUAGCAGCAGCAGUAUAGUAUGAUGCACUUCGUUUUAUCCGAGCAACACAGGGAGAACAAUAAAUUGGUGGAGGCUCAAAAUAAAGAUUAUCUACUUUGCAAACGAAACUUCUUGAUAGAACAUGUUGCCUUAUGCCUCUUUCCAUAUCCUCAAUGACUGAAUAAUCAUAAUUUCCUCAAUCCACAUAAUUGAAUGUUAUGUGUCACUGGACUCACACCCUGGCCAACACAGCAACAACAUCAUCAGGUCAUUUGCAGCAAGAAACACGUCGGUAUACAACAAACCAUAGCAGCAUAUUACAAGAUACAAGCGCAAAGCAGCAGCAGGACAUCAGCGACAAGCACCCAGCGACAUCAAGCACCCACACAACACACACACCCACACGCAGCAAGCAGGGCGGGAGGACCGGAGAACAUAUACCUUGCCGGCGACGGGAUUCCUGGC